AAAUAUCACUAUCCCAUCCAACUUCUCUUCUCUCACAUAUCUCAAAGCGCGAAGUCUCAUUUUUGCCUCCAAUUUAUGGCGAUCUUCCCACAAAAUAGGCAUCUUCUCACGUAAUCCAAUGUGAACUGUCUUCAAACCCGAUUUGGCGAUCAGUGAGGCGGUCUCAUUAGUUGUGCCUCCAGCUUCCACCACAAUCCACACAACAUUGUAUGGCACAUUCAUCAAAGAAUGCAUCACACCUGUAAGAUGCAAAGUCUGAAAAGUUCUCACAUAUGUUGGUGUUACAGCAAUUACAGUCCUUGGACUCUUAACACCAUACUGUAAUCUCUGCUCCCUUUGAACUAUCUCCAUUAUCUUAUGUGCCUGCAUCACCUCACUCGCAUUCGGAUGAGGCCAAGGCCUUAUUAAUAUCCCAUGCCGUCCUACCACCACCCGGCUACUCGACACCGAUGUCCUAUUCAGCUGAUCUUCCCCACCGGAAAAUGACGUCAUUUCCGUCUUAACAGCUACAUCAGCACCCGGAUCAUGAAACAAAGAGGUCGCUGAAUAAAUACUGUUUGGAGUAGUAGCUGAGUUAGUAAACAAAAGAAAGAACACCAAACGCGAAAAUCUGAAACCCAGAACCAAACUGAUCAAACAGCAAACCCCAUGAAGCACAAGCCAGAAAAUAGUCGCUGGUGACUUUACAGACCCAUCUGACGACGAAUCUAACGCUGACGAACCUCUAAAGCUAUUGCUCCGGCGACCUUGCUGUAAAGCUGCUAACUGCUUCAUUUCUCAGUAUAAUCAAAAGGGUUUCAAGAUCUCGAAGUUUUAGACUGAAGCAAUGGAAAAAAAGAGUGGAUUUGAAGAUUUUUGAAGGAAAAGCGUUAGUUGAGAAAGUGUUUGGUGAGAAGUUAAAGAGUUUUAAUCAAGAAAGAGAUGUUACUUUAAGCUUAAGAAUCCAAAAGGGUUGCUUACUAACUAUGUAUUAUAUUCAAAAUUCAACAAUUGAAAGAGACGCCAUGAACGAACAGUGGAAGAAGCUUCAGAGGAAGACUGAAAAACGGAUUCGGG
Molecule: unclassified non-coding RNA, 1056 nt
Filed under: Hevea brasiliensis (rubber tree)
Lineage: Eukaryota; Viridiplantae; Streptophyta; Magnoliopsida; Malpighiales; Euphorbiaceae
Source: RNAcentral